RNA transcript from Phlebotomus papatasi, 1895 nucleotides. It is a transcript of the gene named USP6 N-terminal-like protein, with no coding region annotated. The record is from RefSeq and is a predicted model, not a curated record. The transcript is spliced from 3 exons. Lineage: Eukaryota; Metazoa; Arthropoda; Insecta; Diptera; Psychodidae.
AGCGGCCGGAAUCGCAAAGUUAGAGUGUCAGUCAGCUGUUUUCCCCAAAAUGUUUUUUAUCGCUUUUUAGCCUCCCAAAACGCCCUUUUCUGCCCUUUUAGUGCUCUAAAUGCCUCCCAAUCCAGCAAUAAAUAACAUUCCAGUAAUUUUCAUCAGUUCAUCAGUUAAACACAUCAAUUUGGAUGGAGUUGUAGCCAAGAGGAGAAAAGUGAAAGAAAGAUAGGUUAGGGAAAAGAUUUGUGGGUGUUUUUCUCAGUGAAAAUUUAGUUUGGAGAGCCAAAAGGAAGGGAUCCCAGGUAAUAGUAGAAUGCAUCGAGGUAGAUAAUUGUUGGAGGAGCUGUGGUAAAAAAAAAUGGAAGACGAGGAGGAGGCUCUCUUGGCUCGUGCUCAGGCGGAACGGGAAAAGAUUUUUCAGAAGUACGAGCGUGGCAGGGAGCCUGGAGCAGAGAUUGAUCCAUGGGAAGAUCCAGAUUUCUCCCUAUAUAAGCAUACAGACAGAUAUGGGUUUAUCCAUAAACAUACAUUGCCCGCAAGGCAGGAUUUGGGAACUACACGUCGACGGGAGAUUGAACUGGAGAGGGAAAAGAAGUGGCUGAAGAUGCUGCCAAAGUGGCAACGGAAGGAUACGCAGGAGAAGCUGAGAAGUCGCAUUUUCAAAGGAAUCCCCAACAAAUUGCGUCCAGAAGUGUGGCUGAAGCUUCUGGGCGUGAAAGAUGUGAUGAAGAAAUGGCCAACGGUGUACCGGGAAAUGCUCAGAAGAGCACGACUUUUCUCCACGGAGGUCAGGCAGAUCGAUUCAGAUGUCAAUAGGCAAUUCCGGGAGCAUAUGAUCUUCCGAGAAAGGUACAGUGUGAAGCAGCAGAGUUUAUUCAAUGUCCUGGCAGCCUACAGUAUGUACAACUCAGAAGUGGGCUACUGCCAGGGGAUGUCAAGUGUCGCGGGACUGUUACUGAUGUACAUGGAUGAAGAAGAGGCUUUCUGGGCACUCAAUAUUCUAUUCACAGAAGAGAAAUAUGCCAUGCACGGGCUAUUUAUCGAAGGAUUCCCCAAACUGACGCGCUUCUUAGGCCACCACGAUAGGCUUCUGGAGAGAUUUAUGCCAAGGCUCAAGAGGCACCUGGACAAACACCAUGUGGACUCAGUUCUCUACUCACUGAAAUGGUUCUUUGUGGUUUUCGUGGAGAGAGUUCCAUUCAGUUUGGCGCUAAGGGUUUGGGAUGUGUACCUGCUGGAGGGAGAGCGAGUGAUGACAGCCAUGGCCUACACAAUUCUCAAAAUGCACAAAAAUCGUCUAAUGCGCCUCCGGGACAUGGAUCUCAUCAUUGAAUUCCUGCAAGUGAAGCUCCAUUCGGACUUUGGCUAUGACGAUGACUUCGUGAUAAGGACUCUAGGGCAUAUCAUGACAGAUUUGAGGCGGGUCAAGAUGGACCUACCGCCACCACCGGCAGCCUCUGAGCGUCCCAAAUGCACUUUUGGAGAAAUUGUGGAGGCUUCAGUGGAAAAGAAAAUUGGCCGCAGGAGAUCUGUGUUCACAGAAACCGAACUCAAUGUUCACAAUGUUGUCAUCAGCCGACGGGAACAACUCGAAUCGACGGAUUUAUCAGAAUCUCGCAUCUCCGAUGAACUCCCUGAUGAAUUUUUCGGCACAAACACCUCUGCAAUUAUGUCGUACAGAAGUGAGAAUAGUCUCUGUACGUCUGUGGCCUCGAGCAACAGCUCAGUGGCCAGUUCGACGGAUUGUGUGACGAAAUUGUAGACAGAUGCAAUAUACUCAGAAAUUGUAUGGACCACUUUUAAUUUCUCCUUAUCCUUUUUUUUUACUUUUUUGAAGAUGAUUUAGAUUUGUCUAAGAGAUCUACGCGUGAAGUAUCUUUCGAGACAUCUUUUUCGUCUAC